AUUCGGUUGACGUGCCCCAAAUAGGACGAAAUGUGCAUCCUGGAU
This 45-nucleotide non-coding RNA is filed under the name Trichobilharzia regenti. Lineage: Eukaryota; Metazoa; Platyhelminthes; Trematoda; Strigeidida; Schistosomatidae. The record is from RNAcentral.